This 213-nucleotide ribosomal RNA is filed under the name uncultured eukaryote. Its description in RNAcentral is "partial 18S ribosomal RNA". It matches the Rfam family "Eukaryotic small subunit ribosomal RNA", at positions 1299 to 1458 of the family's 1831-position model. The record is from RNAcentral.
UGGUGGAGUGAUUUGUCUGGUUAAUUCCGAUAACGAACGAGACCUUAACCUGCUAAAUAGUCACCGGAAGCUGCUACAAAAGCAUCGUCGGCGUUGCGGUCUGGCGCGGGCAACCGUAGUUGGGUCGUGCGUCGGCGGUGUGGUUGCUUCGCGGGAUGCACUUCUUAGAGGGACUUUCUACUCUGAAGUAGAAGGAAGUUUGAGGCAAUAACA